Molecule: small nuclear RNA, 107 nt
Filed under: Myotis brandtii (Brandt's bat)
Lineage: Eukaryota; Metazoa; Chordata; Mammalia; Chiroptera; Vespertilionidae
Source: RNAcentral
GUGCUCGCUUCGGUAGCACAUAUACUAAAAUUGGACAGAUACAGAGAAAUUUAUCAUGGCCCCUGCACAAGGAUGACAUGCAAAUUAGUGAAGCAUUCCAUAUUUUU